CCUACGGGAGACUGCAGUGGGGAAUAUUGGACAAUGGAGGCAACUCUGACCCAGCAACGCCGCGUGAGUGAUGAAGUUUUUCGGUAUGUAAAGUUCUAUGAUGGGGGAUGAAAACAAUGACGGUACCCCACUAGCAAGCCCCGGCUAACUACGUGCCAGCAGCCGCGGUAAUACGUAGGGGGCAAGCGUUAUCCGGAAUGACUGGGCGUAAAGGGUGCGUAGGUGGUUUAGUAAGUAGGCGGUGUAAUGCCGGGGCUCAACCUCGGCGCUACCGCCAAAACUAUUAGACUAGAGUGCAGGAGGGGUAAGUGGAAUUCCUAGUGUAGCGGUGGAAUGCGUAGAUAUUAGGAGGAACAUCAGGGGCGAAGGCGACUUACUGGACUGUAACUGACACUGAGGCACGAAAGCGUGGGGAGCAAACAGGAUUAGAUACCCCGGUAGUC
This 443-nucleotide ribosomal RNA is filed under the name uncultured bacterium. RNAcentral describes it as "partial 16S ribosomal RNA". It matches the Rfam family "Bacterial small subunit ribosomal RNA", at positions 338 to 795 of the family's 1533-position model. The record is from RNAcentral.